CCUACGGGAGGCUGCGGUGGGGAAUAUUGGACAAUGGGGGCAACCCUGAUCCAGCCAUGCCGCGUGUGUGAAGAAGGCCCUCGGGUUGUAAAGCACUUUCAGUGAGGAAGAACGCCUGGUGGUUAAUACCCAUCAGGAAAGACAUCACUCACAGAAGAAGCACCGGCUAACUCCGUGCCAGCAGCCGCGGUAAUACGGAGGGUGCGAGCGUUAAUCGGAAUUACUGGGCGUAAAGCGCGCGUAGGUGGCUUGAUAAGCCGGUUGUGAAAGCCCCGGGCUCAACCUGGGAACGGCAUCCGGAACUGUCAAGCUAGAGUGCAGGAGAGGAAGGUAGAAUUCCCGGUGUAGCGGUGAAAUGCGUAGAGAUCGGGAGGAAUACCAGUGGCGAAGGCGGCCUUCUGGACUGACACUGACACUGAGGUGCGAAAGCGUGGGUAGCAAACAGGAUUAGAUACCCGAGUAGUC
RNAcentral lists this ribosomal RNA (465 nucleotides) under Vreelandella stevensii. RNAcentral's name for it is "partial 16S ribosomal RNA". It matches the Rfam family "Bacterial small subunit ribosomal RNA", at positions 338 to 795 of the family's 1533-position model. The record is from RNAcentral. Lineage: Bacteria; Pseudomonadati; Pseudomonadota; Gammaproteobacteria; Oceanospirillales; Halomonadaceae.